This 28-nucleotide small RNA is filed under the name Bombyx mori (domestic silkworm). RNAcentral describes it as "ovarian small RNA-14895". The record is from RNAcentral. Lineage: Eukaryota; Metazoa; Arthropoda; Insecta; Lepidoptera; Bombycidae.
CUGCAGGUGUUGAGAGCAGACCGCGGGU